UCACUCUUGUUUCUUUUCAGAUCGUAUAAAUCUUUCGCCUUUUACUAAAGAUUUCCGUGGAGAGGAACAACAAGAGUUUUACCCAAUUUUUUGAUGCCCUGCUUCAUUGCGGGGCU
Molecule: small nuclear RNA, 116 nt
Organism: Mastacembelus armatus (zig-zag eel)
Lineage: Eukaryota; Metazoa; Chordata; Actinopteri; Synbranchiformes; Mastacembelidae
Gene: U5
Rfam family: U5 spliceosomal RNA
About the family: U5 RNA is a component of both types of known spliceosome. The precise function of this molecule is unknown, though it is known that the 5' loop is required for splice site selection and p220 binding, and that both the 3' stem-loop and the Sm site are important for Sm protein binding and cap methylation.
Source: Ensembl